CGCCGCUGCUGCUCCUGCGCGGUGCGGUCGUGAUAAGUCACGGCGAACUUGCCCUCCGCGCCAUUCCAAGCCACCAGGAAGCGCAGCCGGUGCCUCUCGGGAUCGGCGAAGAGGCCCUGCCGGACCGGCGCCCAGCCCUCCAAACUGUAGAGCUGCUCGUCCUCCAUGGCCGUCGGCAGCAGCGGCCCUAGGGCUCGGCGGGCGCGGGCCUGACCUCGUCGCACUGCCUGUCAGGGGACAGUCCCAGGCAUAACUGAAGGUGAAAGGACAGAAUCACAGUGUGUUACUGGCACAGAUGCAUCGGCUAGUGAAGAAAGAAGACAUUCAAACUGGCUGAAGCAGUGCCUACUCAAUAGAACCAGUCAUCGUGCAAAGAAAUGCCGCCUGACUCAAAGGCAAAGCCAGAGUGCAGCUUGGAGCAAAGAAGUUUGUGUUGAAG
This 439-nucleotide long non-coding RNA is filed under the name Pan troglodytes (chimpanzee). RNAcentral's name for it is "long non-coding RNA NONPTRT005279". The record is from RNAcentral. Lineage: Eukaryota; Metazoa; Chordata; Mammalia; Primates; Hominidae.